UCUGGUCCAAUGGGUUAACUGAACUUCAUCUUUGUCAGGUUGUGGUUGUUGUGACUACCCAUCUAUACUUAUCAAUGAACAUGGAAAUACCAUGAGGCAUGUCAAUGAAUCUCUUGAGUUCCAUGUAUAUCUCUGAUGUCCUCCUUAUGUGAAAGAACCCUACCUCCUUGUAAUAAAGGUUAAUCAGGUUUAGUUACUUUGCCAGUAGCAUAUCUCUUUUCUUUAAUUGCUGGCUUACUAGCAUGAGGAGUCCAAUAGGCCAAAUCGCAGCCAUAGCUUUAGGUAGAAGCACACCCCUCAUUACCACCAAAAGCCAGAAACUCCCGUUUGGGAAAGUUUAAAGCUGUAAGAGCAGGAAGCACAAAGUUUCCAAGUUGGUCUUUGGGAAUGAUGGGAAGAGGUGCCACAUUCCUGUAUUGUAGCUGCAUCAUUCUAGCAUUCUAUCAGGUCAACAGUUUUGGGGUGAUGCAGUAUAUGGUAGCAUUAGUGUCUCCUGGGGUAAUAUGGUCAUUAUCACAUCUAAUUUUCUAUACAAUUGAAGCCAGCUUGGGAGAUAAGUUACACUAAGCCUUUGGCAAUGCAUGUAGCAGAGAAGGCAAACCCACUCCCAGAAUGUGUGCCAGUACCACUACAAACAAAGCACAGCCACUCCAGGGCAGCACGGGUCUGCAGUGUGAUUGAUUUGUCACCCCCUGAAGUAGACAGGCACUCUGUUAUGGAGCCAUACAUGACCCACCUCCCUGCCACUGUGGUUCUCUAUUCAUGAAUCAACUGUACAGCAUUAGAGUGGUCUCAGAUAGAAGCUGGCUAAUAUCCACAAAAUCAGUCAUGUCCACCAUGUUGUCCAGUUCUCCUCUGUGAUGGACAUGAAUGCCACCUGCUGGGAAGUAACAUAAGACAGUGAUCUGCCCACUUUGUCCCCCAUCUCAUGGCUCCACUCACAUGCCUUUUCCUCCUCACAUCCCCAAUCUCGCUAUGUCUAGGCCCCUGGCGAAGCAGCCAACGCAUUCCCCACUGCUCAGGAGUCCAUACAUACCCCCAUUCUUGUUCGCCUAUUUCUCCCUCCACAAGAAGUUGAUGCCCGUCUAUUCCUUUAGUUUCUGUCCUCUAGGAGGAUUACUCCUCACUACUGUUUUUCUUCAGGAUGGGGCUGGAAAAUAUAAGCGGUCCAUUUUGGGCUCAUUCCAC
Molecule: long non-coding RNA, 1188 nt
Filed under: Marmota monax (woodchuck)
Lineage: Eukaryota; Metazoa; Chordata; Mammalia; Rodentia; Sciuridae
Source: RNAcentral